GGGGCUCUGGGGCUAGCGAGUGGCUCCGGUGCCGAGGCCAGCAGCUCCACCUACGGCCAGCUCGCUCCGGACGCAGUUUUCUCUCUGAGCUUCCAAACCUAUCAGGGAUGGAAGAAAACCGUCAUGUUCUGUGCCUCUUGCCCUUGUUCUGCCGUGAGGUCCAGCCGUCAAGGCUGAUUCUGUAUUCAAGACUGAGACUGUGGAUGCAAACUAGAAAACAUGCGUUUCAAGAACCUCUGCGCGCCCAACAGCUUCAGCCUGGGGAGUCCCCUGUCUAGGGUGCGUUCUCUGCAUCUGAUGUACAAGCACUCCCACUCUCUUUUGCUUGAUAAAGAAUAAAGGAAGACAAGUGGCAGCUGCCACAGGAGCAGACUGAAAACAAGCCUCGCCACACACCCCGGUCUUCACAAAGGCUGAUUCAGAGACGCGCGGCCGACAAACCGAGCAGCUGAGGACUUCGGCACAGUCACCUGCCCCAAUGUUAAUUGCACA
RNAcentral lists this long non-coding RNA (492 nucleotides) under Rattus norvegicus (Norway rat). Its description in RNAcentral is "long non-coding RNA NONRATT019370". The record is from RNAcentral. Lineage: Eukaryota; Metazoa; Chordata; Mammalia; Rodentia; Muridae.